AUUGAACGCUGGCGGCAGGCCUAACACAUGCAAGUCGAGCGGAUGAAGGGAGCUUGCUCCUGGAUUCAGCGGCGGACGGGUGAGUAAUGCCUAGGAAUCUGCCUGGUAGUGGGGGAUAACGUCCGGAAACGGGCGCUAAUACCGCAUACGUCCUGAGGGAGAAAGUGGGGGAUCUUCGGACCUCACGCUAUCAGAUGAGCCUAGGUCGGAUUAGCUAGUUGGUGGGGUAAAGGCCUACCAAGGCGACGAUCCGUAACUGGUCUGAGAGGAUGAUCAGUCACACUGGAACUGAGACACGGUCCAGACUCCUACGGGAGGCAGCAGUGGGGAAUAUUGGGCAGUGGGCGAAAGCCUGAUCCAGCCAUGCCGCGUGUGUGAAGAAGGUCUUCGGAUUGUAAAGCACUUUAAGUUGGGAGGAAGGGCAGUAAGUUAAUACCUUGCUGUUUUGACGUUACCAACAGAAUAAGCACCGGCUAACUUCGUG
Molecule: ribosomal RNA, 484 nt
Filed under: uncultured bacterium
Lineage: Bacteria
Description: partial 16S ribosomal RNA
Rfam family: Bacterial small subunit ribosomal RNA
Source: RNAcentral